GCCAGCAGCCAUAUCACCCUGCAACUCACAACUGGCAACCCACUGAAGCUAAGAAGGUGUGAGCCAUCAGUACCUGGAUGGGAGACCUCCUGGGAAAAACUAAGGUUGCUGCUGGAA
RNAcentral lists this ribosomal RNA (117 nucleotides) under Lepisosteus oculatus (spotted gar). The record is from RNAcentral. Lineage: Eukaryota; Metazoa; Chordata; Actinopteri; Semionotiformes; Lepisosteidae.